RNAcentral lists this ribosomal RNA (427 nucleotides) under uncultured bacterium. Its description in RNAcentral is "partial 16S ribosomal RNA". It matches the Rfam family "Bacterial small subunit ribosomal RNA", at positions 355 to 774 of the family's 1533-position model. The record is from RNAcentral.
UGGGGAAUAUUGCACAAUGGGCGCAAGCCUGAUGCAGCCAUGCCGCGUGUAUGAAAAAGGCCUUCGGGUUGUAAAGUACUUUCAGCGAGGAGGAAGGCGUUGUGGUUAAUAACCGCAACGAUUGACGUUACUCGCAGAAGAAGCACCGGCUAACUCCGUGCCAGCAGCCGCGGUAAUACGGAGGGUGCAAGCGUUAAUCGGAAUUACUGGGCGUAAAGCGCACGCAGGCGGUAUGUCAAGUCGGAUGUGAAAUCCCCGGGCUCAACCUGGGAACUGCAUCCGAAACUGGCAGGCUAGAGUCUUGUAGAGGGGGGUAGAAUUCCAGGUGUAGCGGUGAAAUGCGUAGAGAUCUGGAGGAAUACCGGUGGCGAAGGCGGCCCCCUGGACAAAGACUGACGCUCAGGUGCGAAAGCGUGGGGAGCAAACA